AGAGCGAACGCUGGCGGCAGGCCUAAUACAUGCAAGUCGAACGGAUCCUUCGGGAUUAGUGGCGGACGGGUGAGUAACACGUGGGAACGUACCCUUUGGUUCGGAACAACUCAGGGAAACUUGAGCUAAUACCGAAUGUGCCCUUCGGGGAAAAGAUUUAUCGCCAUUGGAGCGGCCCGCGUCUGAUUAGCUAGUUGGUAGGGUAAAGGCCUACCAAGGCUACGAUCAGUAGCUGGUCUGAGAGGAUGAUCAGCCACAUUGGGACUGAGACACGGCCCAGACUCCUACGGGAGGCAGCAGUGGGGAAUAUUGCGCAAUGGGCGAAAGCCUGACGCAGCGACGCCGCGUGUGGGAUGACGGCCUUCGGGUUGUAACCACUGUCGCGAGGGACGAAAAAAAUGACGGUACCUCGAAAGGAAGCACCGGCUAACUCUGCGCCAGCAGCCGC
Molecule: ribosomal RNA, 448 nt
Filed under: uncultured bacterium
Lineage: Bacteria
Description: SSU rRNA
Rfam family: Bacterial small subunit ribosomal RNA
Source: RNAcentral